AAAGCUUUAUAUCUAUCGAUAUGCACCAAAAAGAAAAAAAAAAACUCUUCAUCCUCAUAAAUUAGAUAUGUACCAAUGUAAAAGUUUUGGAAUUUCAGUGAAAAUAGCCUGUAAUGGUGUUUCUUCACUAUUAUCCUCUAAUAUGUUGACCAUCAAUAAGGCCAUCGGUAAUCCCCGUUCUAUAUUUAUCCCCAAGCUUGUUACCUGUGAAAGAAAAACAUUUCAACAAAUUGUAAGCUACCACAUUAAAGUCUAAAUAAAGAUAGCGACAAUCACAGGGAGUGUAAUCAUUUUUAAAAUGACAUAUAUGUUAAUGCAAUU
Molecule: long non-coding RNA, 321 nt
Filed under: Olea europaea subsp. europaea
Lineage: Eukaryota; Viridiplantae; Streptophyta; Magnoliopsida; Lamiales; Oleaceae
Source: RNAcentral